Long non-coding RNA from Syngnathoides biaculeatus (alligator pipefish), 606 nucleotides. RefSeq lists it as uncharacterized. The transcript has 3 exons. NCBI's taxonomy places the organism in Eukaryota, Metazoa, Chordata, Actinopteri, Syngnathiformes, Syngnathidae. The record is from RefSeq and is a predicted model, not a curated record.
UGGAGAACGUGCGUAAGACGCAUGAAAAGAAGCCUGAGAUGCUGCCUGUCAUGCUCGUGUGACUAAAGCUUCAGUUGGAUGGCGUACAAAGACUUACCAAGAGGGAGGCGUGUGCUGAGGAUGAACAACUGCCUCAAAGGGGGUCGCAGGGAGUGCCGGAGCCUAUUGCAGCUGUCAACGGGCAGGAGGCAGUGUACACCCUGAACUGGUUGCCAGCCAAUCGCCGCGCACAUAGAGACAAAGAGUCGCACUCACAAUUACACAUAUGGGUAUUAUAGAGUGUCCAAUUAAUGUUGCAUGUUUUUGGGAUGUGGGAGGAAACCGAAGUGCCCGGGGAAAACCCACGCAGGCACAGGGAAAACAAGCAAACUCCACACAGGCGUGGCCGGGAUUGAACCCGGGUCCUCAGAACUGUGAGGCCAACGCUAUCCAGCUAACCCACCGUGCUGCCAAACUGGAAUAUCAUGCAGCAAUCUGUCGAGACAAAGCCAGCUCAGCCAAGCCCCGACACUCGAUGGGGGUGAAACCCACCAAGGCAGUGCCCUUUGUGCCAACCCCGUGCCUCCCCGCCAGCUCUGCAACCCUAGCGCUGAUGAGAGAAGCUGG